Molecule: ribosomal RNA, 282 nt
Filed under: Aliarcobacter butzleri
Lineage: Bacteria; Pseudomonadati; Campylobacterota; Epsilonproteobacteria; Campylobacterales; Arcobacteraceae
Description: partial 16S ribosomal RNA
Rfam family: Bacterial small subunit ribosomal RNA
Source: RNAcentral
GCAGCAAUACGGUGACGUGGAGCAAAUCUCAAAAAUGCCUCCCAGUUCGGAUUGUAGUCUGCAACUCGACUACAUGAAGUUGGAAUCGCUAGUAAUCGUAGAUCAGCUAUGCUACGGUGAAUACGUUCCCGGGUCUUGUACUCACCGCCCGUCACACCAUGGGAGUUGAACUCAUUCGAAGCGGGGAUGCUAAAGUAGCUACCUUCCACAGUGGAUUCAGCGACUGGGGUGAAGUCGUAACAAGGUAACCGUAGGAGAACCUGCGGUUGGAUCACCUCCUUU